Molecule: unclassified non-coding RNA, 335 nt
Filed under: Hevea brasiliensis (rubber tree)
Lineage: Eukaryota; Viridiplantae; Streptophyta; Magnoliopsida; Malpighiales; Euphorbiaceae
Source: RNAcentral
UUCUUCUUCAUGCUUAGUUUCAUCUUCCACUUGCUUUUGUUCACGCUUAUAUUCUUCCAUCUUAUUCACUUCCUCCUCUAAUAUAGUGCCUUCAUCAUCAUCUUCUUCAUGUUUCUCAUCCUUAGGUAGCUCAGGGACGCGAGGAUGGAGGCCUUUCCUUCCCAAGUUUGAAAUCCCAUCACCACUUUGAGUUUUGACAGAGAUUUUUGACUCUUUCUCAUCAAACUCCUUUUUCUUAUCAUGGGAAUGCUUGACUUGGUAGAUCAACCAGAAACAGACACCAAGCAAUAAACAAAUCUGCAGAACAUUCUUUACCUUGAAGCCUCUGGUUCUAG